UUUUCUUUUAAGAAAUUAUGAUGUGAAUUUUCUUUUAAAGUAAUCCCAAUAGAGUAUAUGUAUAUGUUCCUUUUUGGAGCGAAAUCCAAAUGCAAAAAGUAUACUAAUUUUGAAAGUUAAAACCUGGAACACUUAAUCUUCUUCAAAGCAAACGAAAACAGUCAAUUGACAACUUAAUUAUCAAAACAUAGCAAUUCAGGGGAUUAAUAAGUAUAU
This 216-nucleotide long non-coding RNA is filed under the name Trifolium pratense (red clover). Its description in RNAcentral is "long non-coding RNA (TPRA_LNC004416)". Lineage: Eukaryota; Viridiplantae; Streptophyta; Magnoliopsida; Fabales; Fabaceae. The record is from RNAcentral.